GAUGAACGCUGGCGGCGUGCCUAAUACAUGCAAGUCGAGCGAACAGAUGAGGAGCUUGCUCCUCUGACGUUAGCGGCGGACGGGUGAGUAACACGUGGAUAACCUACCUAUAAGGCUGGGAUAAAUUCGGGAAACCGGAGCUAAUACCGGAUAAUAUAUUGAACCGCAUGGUUCAAUAGUGAAAGACGGUUUUGCUGUCACUUAUAGAUGGAUCCGCGCCGCAUUAGCUAGUUGGUAAGGUAACGGCUUACCAAGGCAACGAUGCGUAGCCGACCUGAGAGGGUGAUCGGCCACACUGGAACUGAGACACGGUCCAGACUCCUACGGGAGGCAGCAGUAGGGAAUCUUCCGCAAUGGGCGAAAGCCUGACGGAGCAACGCCGCGUGAGUGAUGAAGGUCUUCGGAUCGGAAAACUCUGUUAUUAUGGAAGAACAAAUGUGUAAGUAACUAUGCACGUCUUGACGGUACCUAAUCAGAAAGCCACGGCUAACUACGUG
Molecule: ribosomal RNA, 497 nt
Filed under: uncultured bacterium
Lineage: Bacteria
Description: partial 16S ribosomal RNA
Rfam family: Bacterial small subunit ribosomal RNA
Source: RNAcentral